This 315-nucleotide ribosomal RNA is filed under the name Triticum aestivum (bread wheat). RNAcentral describes it as "partial small subunit ribosomal RNA". Lineage: Eukaryota; Viridiplantae; Streptophyta; Magnoliopsida; Poales; Poaceae. The record is from RNAcentral.
AUGAUAGCCCUAAGGAAUUUGAACCUCAUAUUUCCGACUGUUGCUGUGUUAUGCGCCAAAGGCAGUGCUGUGCCACUUCUGCUGGAUCCAAAGAAGAUCCUUGAUUUCAUUGAUCGUUGGCAUAAAGAUCCCAACACACCUCUUCCUGAUCUAAACCUCACACAUGGACAGAGUCACAUGUUGACUGCCUUCAUCGCUGAAGAAAAGUGGAAAUUUGAUAAGGCAAGAUCAGUGAAGAAAGCUCAAUACAAAAAGGAGCAUCAUCUGAAGAAAAAUGUCUUGAAAAUGUCCACUGAAGAACUUGUGACUAUAUAG